CCUUUCCUUGCCCUUCCGCCUAUAUACCGCCGUCGUCAGCCCACCCUGUGAAGGAAAAAUAGUAAGCUCAAUUGACAUUGCCCAAAACGUCAGGUCGAGGUGUAGCAUAUGGAAAGAGAAAGAGAUGGGCUACAUUCUCUCUACCCAGAGAACACGGACGAUCACAAUGAAACACGUAUCUGAAGGAGGAUUUAGCAGUAAGCAGAAAGCAGAGUGUUCAGCUGAAACUGGCCCUGAAGCGCGCACACACCGCCCGUCACUCUCCCCAAGCGACUCAACACAACAAACAUAUACAACCUCCUUUAGCAAAGGGGAGAUAAGUCGUAACAUGGUAAGUGUACCGGAAGGUGCACUUGGAAUAU
Molecule: ribosomal RNA, 362 nt
Filed under: Inegocia japonica (rusty flathead)
Lineage: Eukaryota; Metazoa; Chordata; Actinopteri; Perciformes; Platycephalidae
Description: partial 12S ribosomal RNA
Rfam family: Bacterial small subunit ribosomal RNA
Source: RNAcentral